This 324-nucleotide long non-coding RNA is filed under the name Hordeum vulgare. Its description in RNAcentral is "long non-coding RNA (HVUL_LNC007349)". Lineage: Eukaryota; Viridiplantae; Streptophyta; Magnoliopsida; Poales; Poaceae. The record is from RNAcentral.
CUCUUUGUUCUCAUGUAUUCCAUUCAUUCACUGUAUCCUCAUUCGUUUGUGAAUUUGUAUCGGUGUUCGUUUAAGACUUCUUCAAGUUUGUGCUCUUAUCUAUAUUCAAUCUUUCAAGAAGAAUAAGUGGUAUGCUAAAUCCGUUGUUUGUCAUCAAUUUAACUUGAUGAAUGAUACACAUAACAUAAUUCUUAUUCUUGUGUCAUCAAGGUGAUUUCAAUUCUUCUUCCCGAGUUGUUCGGGAUAUCAAUUCUUUAUUUUAGGUUGUUCAUCUUUUCUUUCAGGAGUUUCAAGUUUUUCUUGUGGAGAGCAUAAAAUUAUUGC